ACGGGGGGGGCAAGCGUUGUUCGGAAUUACUGGGCGUAAGGGGCUCGUAGGCGGCCAACUAAGUCAGACGUGAAAUCCCCAGGCUCAACCUGGGAACUGCGUCUGAUACUGGAUGGCUUGAAUUCGGGAGAGGGAUGCAGAAUUCCAGGUGUAGCGGUGAAAUGCGUAGAUAUUGGGAAGAACACCGGUGGCGAAGGCGGCCAUCUGGACUGCAACUGACGCUGAGGCGCGAAAGCGUGGGGAGCAAACAGGA
RNAcentral lists this ribosomal RNA (253 nucleotides) under uncultured prokaryote. RNAcentral describes it as "partial 16S ribosomal RNA". It matches the Rfam family "Bacterial small subunit ribosomal RNA", at positions 525 to 777 of the family's 1533-position model. The record is from RNAcentral.